GAUGAACGCUGGCGGCGUGCCUAAUACAUGCAAGUCGAGCGAACGGACGAGAAGCUUGCUUCUCUGAUGUUAGCGGCGGACGGGUGAGUAACACGUGGAUAACCUACCUAUAAGACUGGGAUAACUUCGGGAAACCGGAGCUAAUACCGGAUAAUAUUUUGAACCGCAUGGUUCAAAAGUGAAAGACGGUCUUGCUGUCACUUAUAGAUGGAUCCGCGCUGCAUUAGCUAGUUGGUAAGGUAACGGCUUACCAAGGCAACGAUGCAUAGCCGACCUGAGAGGGUGAUCGGCCACACUGGAACUGAGACACGGUCCAGACUCCUACGGGAGGCAGCAGUAGGGAAUCUUCCGCAAGGGGCGAAAGCCUGACGGAGCAACGCCGCGUGAGUGAUGAAGGUCUUCGGAUCGUAAAACUCUGUUAUUAGGGAAGAACAUAUGUGUAAGUAACUGUGCACAUCUUGACGGUACCUAAUCAGAAAGCCACGGCUAACUACGUGCCAGCAGCCGCGGUAAUACGUAGGUGGCAAGCGUUAUCCGGAAUUAUUGGGCGUAAAGCGCGCGUAGGCGGUUUUUUAAGUCUGAUGUGAAAGCCCACGGCUCAACCGUGGAGGGUCAUUGGAAACUGGAAAACUUGAGUGCAGAAGAGGAAAGUGGAAUUCCAUGUGUAGCGGUGAAAUGCGCAGAGAUAUGGAGGAACACCAGUGGCGAAGGCGACUUUCUGGUCUGUAACUGACGCUGAUGUGCGAAAGCGUGGGGAUCAAACAGGAUUAGAUACCCUGGUAGUCCACGCCGUAAACGAUGAGUGCUAAGUGUUAGGGGGUUUCCGCCCCUUAGUGCUGCAGCUAACGCAUUAAGCACUCCGCCUGGGGAGUACGACCGCAAGGUUGAAACUCAAAGGAAUUGACGGGGACCCGCACAAGCGGUGGAGCAUGUGGUUUAAUUCGAAGCAACGCGAAGAACCUUACCAAAUCUUGACAUCCUUUGACAACUCUAGAGAUAGAGCCUUCCCCUUCGGGGGACAAAGUGACAGGUGGUGCAUGGUUGUCGUCAGCUCGUGUCGUGAGAUGUUGGGUUAAGUCCCGCAACGAGCGCAACCCUUAAGCUUAGUUGCCAUCAUUAAGUUGGGCACUCUAAGUUGACUGCCGGUGACAAACCGGAGGAAGGUGGGGAUGACGUCAAAUCAUCAUGCCCCUUAUGAUUUGGGCUACACACGUGCUACAAUGGACAAUACAAAGGGCAGCGAAACCGCGAGGUCAAGCAAAUCCCAUAAAGUUGUUCUCAGUUCGGAUUGUAGUCUGCAACUCGACUACAUGAAGCUGGAAUCGCUAGUAAUCGUAGAUCAGCAUGCUACGGUGAAUACGUUCCCGGGUCU
Molecule: ribosomal RNA, 1372 nt
Filed under: uncultured bacterium
Lineage: Bacteria
Description: bacterial SSU rRNA
Rfam family: Bacterial small subunit ribosomal RNA
Source: RNAcentral